RNAcentral lists this unclassified non-coding RNA (400 nucleotides) under Hevea brasiliensis (rubber tree). The record is from RNAcentral. Lineage: Eukaryota; Viridiplantae; Streptophyta; Magnoliopsida; Malpighiales; Euphorbiaceae.
CAUGAUUCAGACCUACCCCUCUUCUUGCAACCGGACUCCUUCUGGGCGUCACAAUCUCCAAGUGGUCCAUCAAUUUCCACACCGACAAUAGAUGAACUGUUUGGAUUUUGCAAAGACCAAUUGAAGCCGGUAGCUGGGACAGAGAAAUUCGCAUCAGGAACAGGGAUAUCGUCCAUCAAGCCACAAUCAAUCAGCCAAUUAGUGUUUUCUAGGGAUGCCAUUUUUCAAUGAUCGUGGAUUCUGAAUUUCGCCGGAAAAUUGCCGUCGGUUUUCCGGCUCAGGGAAUUUAACGGGAAAGGGUGGUCGGGCGGAGGAAGUGUUUGGGGUGAGAGAAAACAAAGAAACUGGAUGAUUUUGCCGUUCAAUUUUCAGGGUAAAGAAGAGUUGACAUUUGGAAAAG